UUGCAAUGAUGAAUCGGAUUCCAAAGCCAUUCGUAGUUUCCACCAGAAGUCGAAAGGCUUGUGAUGGUCCAAGUACCUUCCUUGGAUGUCUGAGCGA
Ficedula albicollis (Collared flycatcher) is the source of this 97-nucleotide small nucleolar RNA. Its record names the gene SNORD14. It matches the Rfam family "Small nucleolar RNA SNORD14". Rfam says of the family: U14 small nucleolar RNA (U14 snoRNA) is required for early cleavages of eukaryotic precursor rRNAs. In yeasts, this molecule possess a stem-loop region (known as the Y-domain) which is essential for function. A similar structure, but with a different consensus sequence, is found in plants, but is absent in vertebrates. NCBI's taxonomy places the organism in Eukaryota, Metazoa, Chordata, Aves, Passeriformes, Muscicapidae. The record is from Ensembl.